RNAcentral lists this ribosomal RNA (253 nucleotides) under uncultured bacterium. RNAcentral's name for it is "partial 16S ribosomal RNA". It matches the Rfam family "Bacterial small subunit ribosomal RNA", at positions 524 to 776 of the family's 1533-position model. The record is from RNAcentral.
UACAGAGGGUGCAAGCGUUAAUCGGAAUUACUGGGCGUAAAGCGCACGCAGGCGGUUGGUUAAGUCAGAUGUGAAAGCCCCGGGCUCAACCUGGGAAUUGCAUUUGAAACUGGCCAACUAGAGUAUGUGAGAGGGGGGUAGAAUUCCAAGUGUAGCGGCGAAAUGCGUAGAGAUUUGGAGGAAUACCAGUGGCGAAGGCGGCCCCCUGGCACAAUACUGACGCUCAGGUGCGAAAGCGUGGGGAGCAAACAGG